Long non-coding RNA from Asparagus officinalis (garden asparagus), 804 nucleotides. RefSeq lists it as uncharacterized. NCBI's taxonomy places the organism in Eukaryota, Viridiplantae, Streptophyta, Magnoliopsida, Asparagales, Asparagaceae. The transcript has 2 exons. The record is from RefSeq and is a predicted model, not a curated record.
GACUAGUUUUCAUAAAGUUCUCCUUCCAACUUCUUUCCAUACUAGUACAUGCUCUAUGUUCCCUUGUAAUAUGGAGUUCAAGUUUAUUUCAAGUAUUAUUCCUUCUUUACAAUAAAAUUGGAUCCUGUGCUCAGUGAACUCUUGGAGUUGGAUCAGAUUGCUAAGAGCUGCCUCAUGUGUGGGAUCAACAAUAUCACUGCAAGAUGGACUCCACUUUUUUCACCAGGUCUUGUGACCUCUCUUGAUCAUUGACCCUUCAAUAAAGCUUACACAGAAGAAUGAAUGAAUCCUCUGGAUUUGAAGAGUGGAUCCGAACACUCCAAAAAGCUAUUGGAUUGCUGAUGGAGUCCUUGUUAUUGAUGGAGACAGCUGAUGUUUUCCUGACAAGAGCAGAUUGAGGCUUCUGGUUAACAAAAGAAAAGGAAAUGAUAUAACUACAGGACCUUCUUCAGUUGGAUCGAAACUGUGCAGGGAUUUGUCAUCCUCAAAAUCCAAGAAGCCAACUUCUAACACUCCACAAGUAUCUGGGUCGUCCAUAGUAGUUCAUACUACUGUGUUACAAUAGGACGGUGGGCACAAUUUAUCUUGCUAGACGGUUAUGGUGUAUUAUCAUCUCUAUAUGUGUGAAACCCCUUUCUUAUAUAUAUAGAUAGAUAGUUAGUUAGUUAGUUAGUUAGUACUUAAUUUGAUAUUUUGAAGGUUUUUUGAAGUGGAAGGAGGUAUUGCAGCAUGAUCACGUAUGUGUAGUCUUGACACGUUUUUCAGACAACGCAUGUGAAUCAACCAUAUUGUUGUUCCGCUCCA